GGGGGACUGGCCCCAGCGGCUUGGCCCCCAGCCGUCUGUGGCAGUGCGUCCCCUCUCCGCGGGAUCGUCGCCAUGGUCCUGCGAUCCUAGGAGUCGGGCAAGGCGGAACCUGCCUGAAGAAACCUCAAGCGGAGAUUCAAGGAAGCACCACGUGAUCCCUAAGGAUCCCAAAGAUGCGUCGGGCAUGCAUGGGCGGUGUGAGGGUGCGUCUCCCUGACAGGUGUCCCCGCUGGGAUUUCGAGGAAUUAUCCGAUGAAAAGUAGAAGAGGUUGAAUGACUUUCAGUGGCCUUUUCUUCACAGAUUAUUCAGUAAGAACAGUCUCAGGAAAACAGGACCUUCAACAGAGAUAAGAGAAUUAAAAUAUGCAGACUAACAACUCUGGGAAUGGGCUGACCAGCCUGAUAAGAAUAGGCUGAUGGCACCUACAGAAGGCCACAAAACACUGACCAAGAAAGCAAUGACCAACAAAGCAAUGACCUGAGACUGCACAUUUCACAAGAAUGUUUUGAUCAUCAUUUUUUCUAAUUUCCCUUAAAAACCCCUGAUAUGGAGACAGAACUCGGCGGUCUUUGAACACUAGUUCACUGCCUCCCCUGGGUUGUUGGAUUCCUGAAUAAAGCUAACCAUCCUUUCACCAAUGCUCAUCUCUUGAACUUUCAAGUGACAAGUGGUCUGGACCUGAAUUUCGUUACAAAACCUAUGUAUACCUUACCUUACAUGG
This 722-nucleotide non-coding RNA is filed under the name Pan troglodytes (chimpanzee). The record is from RNAcentral. Lineage: Eukaryota; Metazoa; Chordata; Mammalia; Primates; Hominidae.